Molecule: non-coding RNA, 408 nt
Organism: Theobroma umbraticum
Lineage: Eukaryota; Viridiplantae; Streptophyta; Magnoliopsida; Malvales; Malvaceae
Source: RefSeq, a predicted model, not a curated record
AACCACAGAGUAGUUUUUAGGAUUUUUAGUUUGGGAAGGGUAGAAUUUCAGGGGGUUUCUUGUUGUUUGAGUGGCCAGGAAAAGAGUUGGUUUUGGUUAGCCGACGGCGGAAAAAAAAGGGGGUCCGAUUUGGGUAGAAAAAGGGGAAAUUUUUAUAGCUUCAAAGGGGGACGCCGGGUUAGGAGAGAAAAGAGAGAAAGAAGCUCUUGGGUGCGCCGCCGGUUUAGAGUGGGGAAGGCAGGGAGUUGCUGCCGGUUGAAGAGAGGGAGAUCUUGGGUGAAAGAGUAGAAGAAAAGUGGGAAGAAAGGCAAAGGAGGGAGUGCCGCCGGUUGCUUUUGGGCCGGGUCUUUCUGUCUAUAAUAUUAAAACUUUGGCAUUCAUUAGGUAAAGGUAAAAAUGGAUGCGAAU